RNAcentral lists this ribosomal RNA (479 nucleotides) under uncultured bacterium. RNAcentral's name for it is "bacterial SSU rRNA". It matches the Rfam family "Bacterial small subunit ribosomal RNA", at positions 330 to 801 of the family's 1533-position model. The record is from RNAcentral.
UGCGAACUCCUACGGGAGGCAGCAGUAGGGAAUCUUCCACAAUGGACGAAAGUCUGAUGGAGCAACGCCGCGUGAGUGAAGAAGGGUUUCGGCUCGUAAAGCUCUGUUGGUAGUGAAGAAAGAUAGAGGUAGUAACUGGCCUUUAUUUGACGGUAAUUACUUAGAAAGACACGGCUAACUACGUGCCAGCAGCCGCGGUAAUACGUAGGUGGCAAGCGUUGUCCGGAUUUAUUGGGCGUAAAGCGAGUGCAGGCGGUUCAAUAAGUCUGAUGUGAAAGCCUUCGGCUCAACCGGAGAAUUGCAUCAGAAACUGUUGAACUUGAGUGCAGAAGAGGAGAGUGGAACUCCAUGUGUAGCGGUGGAAUGCGUAGAGAUAUGGAAGAACACCAGUGGCGAAGGCGGCUCUCUGGUCUGCAACUGACGCUGAGGCUCGAAAGCAUGGGUAGCGAACAGGAUUAGAAACCCUUGUAGUCCAGAUG